Molecule: ribosomal RNA, 460 nt
Filed under: uncultured bacterium
Lineage: Bacteria
Description: SSU rRNA
Rfam family: Bacterial small subunit ribosomal RNA
Source: RNAcentral
AGAAUCAACGCUGGCGGCGUGCCUAACACAUGCAAGUCGAUCGAGAAAGUGGAGCAAUCCAUGAGUAAAGAGGCGCACGGGUGAGUAACACGUGACUAACCUACCUUCGAGUGGGGAAUAACCUGGGGAAACCCGGGCUAAUACCGCAUAAUACCUACGGGUCAAAGGAGCAAUUCGCUUGAAGAGGGGGUCGCGGCAGAUUAGUUAGUUGGCGGGGUAAUGGCCCACCAAGACGAUGAUCUGUAUCCGGCCUGAGAGGGCGCACGGACACACUGGAACUGAAACACGGUCCAGACUCCUACGGGAGGCAGCAGUGGGAAUUUUGCGCAAUGGGGGAAACCCUGACGCAGCAACGCCGCGUGGAGGAUGAAGUCCCUUGGGACGUAAACUCCCUUUCGACCGGGACGAUUAUGACGGUACCGGAUGAAGAAGCCCCGGCUAACUUCGCGCCAGCAGCCGC